Molecule: ribosomal RNA, 1050 nt
Filed under: Dothideomycetes sp. genotype 368
Lineage: Eukaryota; Fungi; Ascomycota; Dothideomycetes
Description: eukaryotic LSU rRNA
Rfam family: Eukaryotic large subunit ribosomal RNA (bases 468-1050)
Source: RNAcentral
GGAUCAUUACCGAGUGGACGGGUCCCCGGACCCGAACCUCCAACCCUUUUGUGAACCACCUCGUUGCUUCGGGGGCGACCCUGCCGUUCGCGGCGUGGGCCCCCGGAGCCCUUCAAACCCUGCGUAACUAAGUCGUCGGAGUUUAAACAAAUUAAACAAAACUUUCAACAACGGAUCUCUUGGUUCGGGCAUCGAUGAAGAACGCAGCGAAAUGCGAUAAGUAAUGUGAAUUGCAGAAUUCAGUGAAUCAUCGAAUCUUUGAACGCACAUUGCGCCCCCUGGUAUUCCGGGGGGCAUGCCUGUCCGAGCGUCAUUACACCAAUCGAGCCUGGCUCGGUAUUGGGCGUCGCGGGUCUCGACCCGCGCGCCUUAAAGUCUCACCGGCUGAGCGGCGUCGUCUCUAAGCGUUGUGGAAACUAUUCGCGGAGGGACGGGGCGGCGUGGCCGUUAAAUACCCCAUCAAAGGUUGACCUCGGAUCAGGUAGGGAUACCCGCUGAACUUAAGCAUAUCAAUAAGCGGAGGAAAAGAAACCAACAGGGAUUGCCCUAGUAACGGCGAGUGAAGCGGCAACAGCUCAAAUUUGAAACCUGGCGCUUGCGUCCGGAUUGUAAUUUGCAGAGGAUGCUUCUGGGCAGCGGCCGGUCUAAGUUCCUUGGAAAAGGACGUCAUAGAGGGUGAGAACCCCGUAUGUGACCGGCGCGCACCCUCCACGUAGCUCCUUCGACGAGUCGAGUUGUUUGGGAAUGCAGCUCUAAAUGGGAGGUAAAUUUCUUCUAAAGCUAAAUAUUGGCCCGAGACCGAUAGCGCACAAGUAGAGUGAUCGAAAGAUGAAAAGCACUUUGGAAAGAGAGUUAAAAAGCACGUGAAAUUGUUGAAAGGGAAGCGCUUCCCACCAGACUCCGCGGCGGUGUUCCGCCGGUCUUCUGACCGGUCUACUCGCCGCCGUGGGGCCAGCAUCGUCUGGGGCCGCCGGAUAAGACCGCAGGAAUGUAGCUCAUUGAGUGUUAUAGCCUGCGGGGAUGCGGCGCGCCCCGGGCGAGGUCCGCGCU